AUUAAACGCUGGCGGCAUGCCUUACACAUGCAAGUCGAACGGCAGCACGGGGCAACCUGGUGGCGAGUGGCGAACGGGUGAGUAAAGCAUCGGAACGUGCCCUGGAGUGGGGGAUAACGUAGCGAAAGUUACGCUAAUACCGCAUAUUCUGUGAGCAGGAAAGCAGGGGAUCGCAAGACCUUGCGCUCUGGGAGCGGCCGAUGUCGGAUUAGCUAGUUGGUGGGGUAAAAGCCUACCAAGGCGACGAUCUGUAGCUGGUCUGAGAGGACGACCAGCCACACUGGGACUGAGACACGGUCCAGACUCCUACGGGAGGCAGCAGUAGGGAAUAUUGGACAAUGGGGGCAACCCUGAUCCAGCCAUGCCGCGUGAGUGAAGAAGGCCCUCGGGUUGUAAAGCUCUUUUGUCCGGAAAGAAAGCAAUCGGUUAAUACCCGGUUGUUCUGACGGUACCGGAAGAAUAAGCACCGGCUAACUUCGUGCCAGCAGCCGCGGUAAAGUCGU
This 503-nucleotide ribosomal RNA is filed under the name uncultured bacterium. RNAcentral's name for it is "bacterial SSU rRNA". It matches the Rfam family "Bacterial small subunit ribosomal RNA", at positions 30 to 528 of the family's 1533-position model. The record is from RNAcentral.